This 213-nucleotide transfer-messenger RNA is filed under the name Brucella anthropi ATCC 49188. RNAcentral describes it as "Ochrobactrum anthropi ATCC 49188 transfer-messenger RNA Ochro_anthr_49188". It matches the Rfam family "Alphaproteobacteria transfer-messenger RNA", at positions 148 to 355 of the family's 355-position model. Rfam says of the family: Bacterial tmRNA, also known as 10Sa RNA or SsrA, is named for its dual tRNA and mRNA-like properties. RNAcentral also lists the same sequence under 2 other names. Lineage: Bacteria; Pseudomonadati; Pseudomonadota; Alphaproteobacteria; Hyphomicrobiales; Brucellaceae. The record is from RNAcentral.
GGGGGCGAAACAGGAUCGACAAGGGUGUAAAGAUCGCUCUUUUACUCGGCAUGAUACCACCGUUAUCGGGUCAAUUGAGUAGUUGCAAAUGACAACAAAGCUCAGGGUUAUGCUCUCGCUGCCUAAUGGCGGUGCGGGAAACCCACUCUAAAGUCCUUAGGGUUAGCCCCUUAAGGCGGGGUUCGGAGGCACCUGGCAACAGAAGCCUCCACU